AACGCGAAGAACCUUACCUGGGUUUGACAUCUCCUGACAGCCGUAGAGAUACGGUUUCUUACGCAAGUAAGCAGGAAGACAGGUGCUGCAUGGCUGUCGUCAGCUCGUGUGGUGACAUGUUGGGUUAAGUCCCGCAACGAGCGCAACCCUUGUCUUUAGUUGCCAGCAUUCAGUUGGGCACUCUAAAGAGACUGCCGUGGUUAACACGGAGGAAGGUGGGGAUGACGUCAAGUCCUCAUGGCCUUUAUAUCCAGGGCGACACACGUGAUACAAUGGACGGUACAGAGGGAAGCGAAACCGCGAGGUGGAGCCAAUCUCAAAAAGCCGUUCUCAGUUCGGAUUGGAGUCUGCAACUCGACUCCAUGAAGUUGGAAUCGCUAGUAAUCGCGGAUCAGCACGCCGCGGUGAAUACGUUCCCGGGCCUUGUACACACCGGUACUA
Molecule: ribosomal RNA, 441 nt
Filed under: uncultured bacterium
Lineage: Bacteria
Description: bacterial SSU rRNA
Rfam family: Bacterial small subunit ribosomal RNA
Source: RNAcentral